Molecule: long non-coding RNA, 2583 nt
Organism: Sphaeramia orbicularis (orbiculate cardinalfish)
Lineage: Eukaryota; Metazoa; Chordata; Actinopteri; Kurtiformes; Apogonidae
Exons: 2
Source: RefSeq, a predicted model, not a curated record
UCAAAUUUAUUGUAAUUUACAAUCAGAAACAUUCCUACAUGUGCAGACACUGCUACUCAUUCUUACAUAUUUCUUUUAUAAUACAAACUAGCAAUGCUGUUACUUCUGCCGGGUAUAGAGUACAAUAUGCGGACACCCCCCAAAACCAAAUACACAACAGUACAGUUAAAAGAUCACAACAUUACACAACAAGCAUUAACUAGGUCAUGUGCCAUUUUCUGUACCGUAGCCCUCUUUUCUUGAAAGAUUUACAUUUUAAGAAGUCUUUCAGUGUUACCACUCUCCAAUCUCUGCAGGGAUAAAGUGCAAGACAGGAAGGCUUAAACAAAUAAACAGAUAAUGAAAACUAAAUAGAGUAACACUUUAUUGUACAAGUUUAAAAAUUCGGAAUAUUUCCCUAAUAUUUUCUCAGGAAAAAGUUGAAAGUUUGGUAUUUAUAGGAGAGUCAAAGACUGUGUGCAAUUACUACAUUCAUUCCAGGCAAUGAAUUAUAGAAUCUUGUACUUGAUAGAACAGGUUAAAUUCAUACAAAACCAUUUGUCUACAGGCAAGCAAUUCAAUAAAUUGAAAAUAAGGUUUUGGAUAACAUAGUGUGUUUGUACGAACACUUAAAGGGAAUUAUUUGGAAAAUAGAGAAACAACCACAGAUAAUUAUCCUGUGUUAUUUUCUGAGCCUUAUUACACUGAGUACAGGUCUCCUCUUUUUUUCUACUUAUUCUGUAUAUAAAAUACUACACUGAAAUACUGUAAACAGAUUUAAUUGAGAAGAUGACCUCAGAGCUGAGUCACAUUUGUUGGUUUCUCUGUUAAAAAAAAAAAAAGGCUUUCCCCAAACUUGUUUCAACAGGCAGUACCAGCCAGACUCCAGUGAUCUGGCACUGAAAAUGAAUGUGCUGUGCUUCAUCUUGUCGCUAUGCCAACCAAACAAAUGGAGUCAAGGUGACAGAAGAAAGGUCCGACUCAUGGGAGUGAGGAAAACAAGCAAAAAGGGGGGAGCAGGGGGAAUUGAUGUUGAGUGUCUCUGGUUUUUCUUAGGUGCUGUGCUGUCUCAUUAUCCAUCGGUGACGUACAGAAACUUAAAGGCCCAGAUAAAACUGGCCAAGACUUAAACAUCUGCAUCUAUAAUGUGCUCACAUUCUUUUUCUGGAUUUGAAAGAUGAUCUCAUAGAGGCGCAUCAUUUCAACCUUAUUAUCUAGAAAUUUAGGAAAAUAUAGAUGCAGUCGGAUGAAUAUUCAACUGCAUAUUUCGAUAAAGCACCAUCAUAAACAAAGCUAUAUAACAUCUUAAUUGUUAGACCAGUAUUGUCUAAAAUGUAGUGUCUAUAGGUUGAAUUAGCUGCAACUAAGAUGAACAUAGCAACAGAAAACACUACAUUACAUUCCUCUUAAUGCCACAAAUUUAACUUUUAGCAUUUGCCCGAGUACUCCUCAGUGACUGAUCGAAACAUGGGUGUGUGGACAUGUGUGUGUUGUAUAACAGAGUCCCAGGUGGCUCAACAAUAUCACGGAAACAAUGACUGGAAGAGAAAAUCACCAGUUAAUUCCACUGGCUCCGUGGGUCUGUGCUUCUUUACUGUGCAAGUCUGCAGGAAUGUGGUGUUAGAGCCAGCUGAUCACAUAUAACAUUUAUACAGAAGAAGUAUGUGAAAGGGCCAUGACAGACCAAGAAAAAGAGAAGUUGAGUUAUAUAUAUAAAAAAAAUAAAAAUGAAUUAACAGUCAGAAUCACUAUGGAGGUCAACAGCUGUGUCCAUGUUACAUAAUAACUGCCCUAGUGUAUAUUCUGCAUCUAAAUUUUCAUCACUGUUUAUUUUGACAAUUGAUAAAUCAUUUAUCUGAUUAAAGAACCAGGAAGAAGUAAACAAAAAGAAAAAAAAGGCAUUGAUUUUCUUCCUUUUUCAGUUCACUUUCAGUGUCAAAAAGGAAAGAUGAGCACACAUUUCUCAAAUCAAAGCAGCAUCUUCAAAAGUUUUAAAAAAUAUAAUUGGGAUGCGAAUGGAUGCAGCUUCAUGACCAACUGACAAAUCACAGCAGCUUUCAUCUUCAUGGUGUGUCUUUUUGCAGUUAGUGCAAAAAUCAAUCACCAAACUUUUUUUUUUUUUUUUUUUUAAAUUCUAGGAGUAAACUCACAGCCAGUUCUAGCAAAGAAGGCAUUUCCUCGGAAAACAAUGUCAUCAAAUCUGUAGAUACAAAACAUUUUUUAGUCUACAUGUGUGUAAAUGCGGUUACAGAUUUAAAUUACAAACGUGUGGCUAAUAUUAGUAUGUAAUAUGGACACAGCAAAAGAGUAAGUCCACACUAAGAAGGCAAAUUAGAAAACAUGUAUUCUCUUGUUUUAAGCCUCAGACAUUGCUACCAGCUGUGCUUAUUCAGAGUGGAAAAGUCUAAAAAUGCUGGCCUGGAAUUUGAGUUUUUAAUGAUGAAAACAGCUUUUGUUAAGUGGCUUUUUGCAGGAGCCCAAACAGAUGUUUGAGCUGCUUAGCUCUGCAGAGGAACAGAGCUGAGUCAUUCCCACUCUGGACCAGGUGGAGGCAGUCAUGCACCAUUUUGCAGUUUGUUGGCUGAAAAAGACACAGGUCAACAA